RNAcentral lists this long non-coding RNA (570 nucleotides) under Homo sapiens (human). RNAcentral describes it as "HSALNT0219806". Lineage: Eukaryota; Metazoa; Chordata; Mammalia; Primates; Hominidae. The record is from RNAcentral.
AAGCCAGCUAUGGCAGGAUGUUGGGCCCCUGAUAGCUCCUGAGACACUGGCCCUGUCUAGGCAUAGAUUCAUUAGACGUGGACCCAAACCAGUAGAAAAAGCCUUUAUUUAAGGACUGAGCAAGUCUUUGCAACCUAGGGGUGCAGGUGAACAGGAUAAAGGAAACAUUUUAGAGUAAGAUUUCAGGGGACUGAAGAAACACUGACAUUCAGGAAAAGCAGAAGAGAUUCUUACAAGUUCAGUGCCCACAUCAUAAGGAAAAAAUUCUCUGAAGACCAGGAUGGGAUUCAAGGGUGUUAUGUUGAAUAGAGGCAUGCAAAGGAAGUACUUAACGUGCAGGCCAGGACCAGAGACGGUGCACUAGGUAGAGUGCGGCAUCCAGCAAAAGUAUUUCAAGGUGGAUCCUGGUAACUGGAGGAUCUUUUACAAACUUAAAUAUUUUCUUAAACAAGGGUUUGAAGAUGCCUGUUUGAAGGAAAGAAACACGUGAGUAAUAAAUAGUGAAUGCUACAGAGAAACCAGAAAGUAAGAAAGGUGCAUAGGACUGUGGUCAGGGCAGCUAUAGAAGCU